RNAcentral lists this long non-coding RNA (212 nucleotides) under Elaeis guineensis (African oil palm). RNAcentral describes it as "long non-coding RNA (EGUI_LNC009284)". Lineage: Eukaryota; Viridiplantae; Streptophyta; Magnoliopsida; Arecales; Arecaceae. The record is from RNAcentral.
CUGCUAAUGGUUCUGCCAGGGCUUCUUCAUCUCUCGCUGUCUCAACUCCAGCAGACGGAGCUUCAGUCGGAAGAAGCAUUGUCAGGGCCGACAACACUAGGACCGACUCGAGGGCUGCCUCUAACGAAAUGUCAAAUUUUCUUGUCGGUACUGAUGGAGAAUCAACCUGACUCUUUCUCGACGGUCGGGAAGGUCCAGCAUCAGUCACUGCC